Salvia splendens (bonfire salvia) is the source of this 391-nucleotide long non-coding RNA. RefSeq lists it as uncharacterized. The transcript is spliced from 3 exons. NCBI's taxonomy places the organism in Eukaryota, Viridiplantae, Streptophyta, Magnoliopsida, Lamiales, Lamiaceae. The record is from RefSeq and is a predicted model, not a curated record.
GUUCAGAUCAGCCACCGCCGCCUCCGCCACUGUGCAUGCACAGGUGGCGGCUUCGGCCUCCUCCACGUCUCGCACAGCCGGCGCAGCUUCCCGGCGUCACUCCAGCCCCGGCCGCCGCCUCCUCGCCGAACUCCUGGAAGAUUUGUCAAGAUUUUAUUGAAAGUCAUAGAGGUGUGAGGCUGCCUACGUCGUCUCCGGGCUGCCGAGCUCGCUACCGAAAUCCGGCAGAUUCAUAGAGGUAUAAUCGGUUCAAGUUCAGGGCCGUCCGCGUUGAAGUACUCGUUUUCUUAGAAUGUGGGAUGUAUUAAAUUUUGUUGGACCUUUGUUGGAUGUAUCGAACAUUAGAAUUUUGAUUAUGGUACUUUAUUUAUAAAUUUAAAUUUAUUAUAUU